UCGGAUCAAUCAAAUCGGAGGCUAGUUGAGAGCAGACCAAUAGCAUGACAACUGGAGAGCCAAUUGAACCAAUUUGAAGACAACAAUUAACGAAAAACCUAUGAAUUUAUAAUGGGUUUCAUAUUAUAAAGGCCAACGCUCCUCUAAAAUUAGCCAACAUGAACCAAUCAAGCUAGCAGCAAUAGUAGAAUCAAUACAAAUCAUCACCAUUAAAGGAAUCCCAAACCACCCAGUAGCAUUGAGUGCAUACGGUAAAGCCAAUAUACCAACACCAGCAUUUUCACCAGCUACAAACAGAAUCGUUGUCAGAACCGAUAAACCCUUCUUCUCCGGUUCACUCUUAUCAAGAUGGUUUGGUUGGAAGCCAAUUUUUGCUCGAGAUUCUUGCUGUUUAAAAAUUAGAGUUAAUUCAAUUGCCUCAUAAAAAACAUUUAAUCAACAUGAAGAAUCUCACAGUUUUAUGGAUUUGGUACAAGAUUAUUCAUAUUUGCUUCAUUUAACCCAAAGAGUAAAGGAACUAUAAAUUUGAUUUAACCUAAACCAAAAGUUGAAAAAUGCGACUUGGACUAAUAGACUUGGACAUAAAAUUAAAGUAAAUUCAUAUUGACACAGUCAAUUAUGUCUUUAUCCUACAAAGAUUAAACAAAUUGCUGAUUACUUAACAACUACAUUAGCUGGUUAUACUUAUGUAAGUUUUGAUUGUUUGAUAUUUCACUGUGAUGAAUUGACAUUUAAUGUCAUUCAUUGUCAGGCGACCAACUCAUGAUGGAAAAUAAAAUGUACAUGUUUAGCCGUA
Tetranychus urticae (two-spotted spider mite) is the source of this 796-nucleotide non-coding RNA. NCBI's taxonomy places the organism in Eukaryota, Metazoa, Arthropoda, Arachnida, Trombidiformes, Tetranychidae. The record is from RefSeq and is a predicted model, not a curated record.